ACCCACUGUCGUUGAAAAGCCAGGGGAUGACUUGUGGAUCGGAGUGAAAGGCUAAUCAAGCCCGGAGAUAGCUGGUUCUCCCCGAAAGCUAUUUAGGUAGCGCCUCGGACGAAUACCACAGGGGGUAGAGCACUGUUUCGGCUAGGGGGUCAUCCCGACUUACCAACCCGAUGCAAACUCCGAAUACCUGUGAGUACUAUCCGGGAGACACACGGUGGGUGCUAACGUCCAUCGUGAAGAGGGAAACAACCCAGACCGCCAGCUAAGGUCCCCAAAUACCAGUUAAGUGGGAAACGAUGUGGGAAC
Molecule: ribosomal RNA, 306 nt
Filed under: Curtobacterium sp. MMLR14_010
Lineage: Bacteria; Bacillati; Actinomycetota; Actinomycetes; Micrococcales; Microbacteriaceae
Description: bacterial LSU rRNA
Rfam family: Bacterial large subunit ribosomal RNA
Source: RNAcentral